UGCCAGCCGCCGCGGUAAUACGAAGGGUGCAAGCGUUGUUCGGAUUUACUGGGCGUAAAGCGCGCGCAGGCGGAUUAGCAAGUCAGAUGUGAAAUCUCGGGGCUUAACCCCGAAACUGCGUCUGAGACUGUUGAUCUAGAGUCUCGGAGAGGGAUGGGGAAUUUCCUGUGUAGGGGUAAAAUCCGUAGAGAUAGGAAGGAACACCAGAGGCGAAGGCGCCAUCCUGGACGAGUACUGACGCUGAGGCGCGAAAGCGUGGGGAGCAAACAGGAUUAGAUA
RNAcentral lists this ribosomal RNA (279 nucleotides) under uncultured bacterium. Its description in RNAcentral is "partial 16S ribosomal RNA". It matches the Rfam family "Bacterial small subunit ribosomal RNA", at positions 506 to 784 of the family's 1533-position model. The record is from RNAcentral.